Molecule: ribosomal RNA, 253 nt
Filed under: uncultured bacterium
Lineage: Bacteria
Description: partial 16S ribosomal RNA
Rfam family: Bacterial small subunit ribosomal RNA
Source: RNAcentral
UACGGAGGGUGCAAGCGUUAUUCGGAAUCACUGGGCGUAAAGGGCGCGUAGGCGGUUCGUUAAGUUUGAUGUGAAAUCCCGGGGCUUAACUCCGGAAGUGCAUCGAAUACUGGCGGACUAGAGUAUGGGAGAGGAUGGUGGAAUUCCUGGUGUAGAGGUGAAAUUCGUAGAUAUCAGGAGGAACACCGGCGGCGAAGGCGGCCAUCUGGACCAUAACUGACGCCUAAGCGCGAAAGCGUGGGGAGCAAACAGG